Paramuricea clavata is the source of this 340-nucleotide non-coding RNA. NCBI's taxonomy places the organism in Eukaryota, Metazoa, Cnidaria, Anthozoa, Malacalcyonacea, Plexauridae. The record is from the annotation of a GenBank genome assembly.
CAUCUGUAUAUUUAUUGGCUUACCCUUAGGCUGCAAUUAUGACAAUAUAAUACUAAAUAUUUUAAAGUAUAUUUGUUGUGUGAAUUUCUCUGUGCGUUUUCGAACCACCUUAAAAAUACGACCAUGCAGAUAAAUCCGGUUGUUCCCCCUAAAGAAUAGUUACAGUCAAACCCUACGCCCCAACAGAAUAUUCACCUCAUAUUUCUUCUAAAAUACAGACCCUCUCGAACAUAGACAACAAGCGCAAGACAAACUGGCGGAAAGUGAAACCAGUCUUGCAGGACUGCCCUAGGCCCCUAUACGUUGAAAUUCAUUGCACGAAUUCAGUACGAAAAAUAGG